UGGGAAACCUGCCCAGAAGCGGGGGAUAACACCUGGAAACAGAUGCUAAUACCGCAUAACAACUUGGACCGCAUGGUCCGAGUUUGAAAGAUGGCUUCGGCUAUCACUUUUGGAUGGUCCCGCGGCGUAUUAGCUAGAUGGUGGGGUAACGGCUCACCAUGGCAAUGAUACGUAGCCGACCUGAGAGGGUAAUCGGCCACAUUGGGACUGAGACACGGCCCAAACUCCUACGGGAGGCAGCAGUAGGGAAUCUUCCACAAUGGACGAAAGUCUGAUGGAGCAACGCCGCGUGAGUGAAGAAGGGUUUCGGCUCGUAAAACUCUGUUGUUAAAGAAGAACAUAUCUGAGAGUAACUGUUCAGGUAUUGACGGUAUUUAACCAGAAAGCCACGGCUAACUACGUGCCAGCAGCCGCGGUAAUACGUAGGUGGCAAGCGUUGUCCGGAUUUAUUGGGCGUAAAGCGAGCGCAGGCGGUUUUUUAAGUCUGAUGUGAAAGCCUUCGGCUCAACCGAAGAAGUGCAUCGGAAACUGGGAAACUUGAGUGCAGAAGAGGACAGUGGAACUCCAUGUGUAGCGGUGAAAUGCGUAGAUAUAUGGAAGAACACCAGUGGCGAAGGCGGCUGUCUGGUCUGUAACUGACGCUGAGGCUCGAAAGUAUGGGUAGCAAACAGGAUUAGAUACCCUGGUAGUCCAUACCGUAAACGAUGAAUGCUAAGUGUUGGAGGGUUUCCGCCCUUCAGUGCUGCAGCUAACGCAUUAAGCAUUCCGCCUGGGGAGUACGGCCGCAAGGCUGAAACUCAAAGGAAUUGACGGGGGCCCGCACAAGCGGUGGAGCAUGUGGUUUAAUUCGAAGCUACGCGAAGAACCUUACCAGGUCUUGACAUACUAUGCAAAUCUAAGAGAUUAGACGUUCCCUUCGGGGACAUGGAUACAGGUGGUGCAUGGUUGUCGUCAGCUCGUGUCGUGAGAUGUUGGGUUAAGUCCCGCAACGAGCGCAACCCUUAUUAUCAGUUGCCAGCAUUAAGUUGGGCACUCUGGUGAGACUGCCGGUGACAAACCGGAGGAAGGUGGGGAUGACGUCAAAUCAUCAUGCCCCUUAUGACCUGGGCUACACACGUGCUACAAUGGAUGGUACAACGAGUUGCGAACUCGCGAGAGUAAGCUAAUCUCUUAAAGCCAUUCUCAGUUCGGAUUGUAGGCUGCAACUCGCCUACAUGAAGUCGGAAUCGCUAGUAAUCGCGGAUCAGCAUGCCGCGGUGAAUACGUUCCCGGGCCUUGUACACACCGCCCGUC
This 1293-nucleotide ribosomal RNA is filed under the name Lactiplantibacillus plantarum. RNAcentral's name for it is "bacterial SSU rRNA". It matches the Rfam family "Bacterial small subunit ribosomal RNA", at positions 118 to 1398 of the family's 1533-position model. Lineage: Bacteria; Bacillati; Bacillota; Bacilli; Lactobacillales; Lactobacillaceae. The record is from RNAcentral.